Limulus polyphemus (Atlantic horseshoe crab) is the source of this 354-nucleotide long non-coding RNA. RefSeq lists it as uncharacterized. The record is from RefSeq and is a predicted model, not a curated record. Lineage: Eukaryota; Metazoa; Arthropoda; Merostomata; Xiphosura; Limulidae. The transcript has 6 exons.
AUAAAGGUUAAACACUAAAACCUUUUGCCUGAGCAGAAUUGGGAAGUGGAUCUAGCGGAUCUUGAAUCCCAGGUUGACGAUAACACUGCUGCAGUCAUCGUGAAUAAUCCCUCUAACCCUUGUGGAUCAGUGUUUUCACGAAACCAUUUGCAAGCAAUCCUAGAUAUCGCUGCCAGGAACUUCGUUCCUAUAAUUGCUGACGAGAUUUAUGAACAUUUUGUGUUUCCAGGGUACAACUACUACUCCGUUGCUUCUCUGUCAACUGAAGUACCUGUUCUUUCUUGCAGCGGUUUGACCAAAAGGUUUCUUGUUCCUGGAUGGAGAUUAGGAUGGAUAACCAUUCACGACAGAAAA